AUACGUAGGGGGCGAGCGUUGUCCGGAAUGAUUGGGCGUAAAGGGCGCGUAGGCGGCGCGGUAAGUCUGGAGUGAAAGUCCUGCUUUCAAGGUGGGAAUUGCUUUGGAUACUGCCGCGCUUGAGUGCAGGAGAGGUUAUCGGAAUUCCCGGUGUAGCGGUGAAAUGCGUAGAGAUCGGGAGGUACACCAGUGGCGAAGGCGGGUAACUGGACUGCAACUGACGCUGAGGCGCGAAAGUGUGGGGAGCAAACAGGAUUAGAUACCCUGGUAGUCCACACUGUAAACGAUGAAUGCUAGGUGUAAGAGGUAUCGACCCCUUUUGUGCCGGAGUCAACACAAUAAGCAUUCCGCCUGGGGAGUACGGCCGCAAGGUUGAAACUCAAAGGAAUUGACGGGG
This 397-nucleotide ribosomal RNA is filed under the name uncultured bacterium. RNAcentral's name for it is "partial 16S ribosomal RNA". It matches the Rfam family "Bacterial small subunit ribosomal RNA", at positions 523 to 918 of the family's 1533-position model. The record is from RNAcentral.